RNAcentral lists this signal recognition particle RNA (299 nucleotides) under Cebus imitator (Panamanian white-faced capuchin). RNAcentral's name for it is "Metazoan signal recognition particle RNA (ENSCCAG00000002876.1)". It matches the Rfam family "Metazoan signal recognition particle RNA". Rfam says of the family: The signal recognition particle (SRP) is a universally conserved ribonucleoprotein. It is involved in the co-translational targeting of proteins to membranes. The record is from Rfam by way of RNAcentral. Lineage: Eukaryota; Metazoa; Chordata; Mammalia; Primates; Cebidae.
ACUGGGCACGGUGGCGUGUGCCUGAAGUCCCAGCUACUCGGGAGGCUGAGGUGGGAGGAUCACUUGAGCCCAGGAGUUCUGGGCUGUAGCGCGCUAUGCUGAUCGAGUGUCCACACUAAGUUCGGCAUCAAUAUGGUGACCUCCUGGUAGCGGGGGACCAGCAGGUUGCCUGAGGAGGGGUGAACCGGCCCAAGUUGGAAACGGAGCAGGUCAGAACUCUGGUGCUGAUCAGUAGCGGGAUUGCGCCUGUGAAUAGCCACUGCACUCCAGCCUGGGCAACAUAGCAAGACCCCAUCCAU